This is a non-coding RNA of Equus caballus (horse), 98 nucleotides long. Lineage: Eukaryota; Metazoa; Chordata; Mammalia; Perissodactyla; Equidae. The record is from Rfam.
UUGUAAAUGUGUAGACUCCUCAGAAUGGAACUAACUUGAGCCCUUCGUUCCCCAGCCGAGGCUCACUGCCCCCCGGAUGGGCAGUGAGUCGGUGGGUU